UCGCUAGUAAUCGCGGAUCAGAAUGCCGCGGUGAAUACGUUCCCGGGUCUUGUACACACCGCCCGUCACACCAUGGGAGUCGGAAAUGCCCGAAGUCUGUGACCUAACCGUAAGGAAGGAGCAGCCGAAGGCAGGUCGGAUGACUGGGGUGAAGUCGUAACAAGGUAGC
This 169-nucleotide ribosomal RNA is filed under the name uncultured bacterium. RNAcentral's name for it is "partial 16S ribosomal RNA". It matches the Rfam family "Bacterial small subunit ribosomal RNA", at positions 1332 to 1500 of the family's 1533-position model. The record is from RNAcentral.